AUAUGAAAGCAAUGCAACGUGAUCCAGAGUUGUGACUCCGAAAUCGUCACUAGAAAGGUGGAAGAAGCCAGAGCCUCCUGUCUCACAGCAGUGUAGCUUCAGUUCUGGAAGGCUCAAGAUAUGAAGUCUCUAACAGUCCCUGUUCUUCCACAUUGCUGGAAUGAGAAAGGUAUUCAGCAACGACACAGAGAUUGUUUUCCUUUAUGCAUGCCAGAAAUGGUGUCAACCAGCAGAGGAGACUGAGGUGAUACCUGCAUCUUCUUCAGUUACUGGUGGCUUCAUGCAAGGUCUCUGA
RNAcentral lists this long non-coding RNA (295 nucleotides) under Calidris pugnax (ruff). RNAcentral's name for it is "lncRNA (ENSCPUG00000006734.1)". The record is from RNAcentral. Lineage: Eukaryota; Metazoa; Chordata; Aves; Charadriiformes; Scolopacidae.